Canis lupus familiaris (dog) is the source of this 481-nucleotide non-coding RNA. NCBI's taxonomy places the organism in Eukaryota, Metazoa, Chordata, Mammalia, Carnivora, Canidae. The record is from the annotation of a RefSeq genome assembly.
AUGGCCUGGACAGUGUUUCUUCUUGGGCUCCUUGCUUAUGGCUCAGGAGCUGAUUUUCAGAUUGUGGUGACCCAGGAGCCAUCACUGUCAGUGUCUCCAGGAGGAACAGUUACACUCACAUGUGGCCUAAGCUCUGGGUCAGUCACUAUAAGUAACUACCCUGAUUGGUACCAGCAGACUCCAGGCAGGUCUCCUCGCAUGCUUAUCUACAACACAAACAACCGCCCCUCUGGGGUCCCUAAUCACUUCUCUGGAUCCAUCUCUGGGAACAAAGCCGCCCUCACCAUCACAGGAGCCCAGCCUGAGGAUGAGGCUUACUACUACUGUGCUGUGUAUCAAGGCAGUGGGAGCAGCUACACUUACCCACAGUAUCUCAGAUAAGGAGGCAGCGAGACAAAAACCUCUGGGCCCUUGUCUCUGAUCCUUGUCAUUGAGAAGCUUCUGUGGAGCUUACAGUCAGGUGCAUGACAGUGAUCCUAAG